This 234-nucleotide long non-coding RNA is filed under the name Elaeis guineensis (African oil palm). RNAcentral describes it as "long non-coding RNA (EGUI_LNC000745)". The record is from RNAcentral. Lineage: Eukaryota; Viridiplantae; Streptophyta; Magnoliopsida; Arecales; Arecaceae.
CCCCAAGGAACAAGACAUUUCCAUCUUGUACUUCUUGUCAUGCCACAAGUUGAAAGAAACAUUGUGGUGAACUGCAUAUAAUGCCUUGGCAAAUUCUCCUAGUGGAAUAUAAUUUCAUCAAAAAAUGGUUUGAUGAAACUAAUACAGUAAUGCUAGCAAUUGAGAAAUAUCCUAAAGUUCCCAAAUGGUUUGUAAUAGCUAAUGAGUCUGAGAAAUAGCCGGAACCACUAAAGC